GCCAGGCACAGUGGCGUAUGCCUGUAAUCCCAGUGAUUUGGGAAGCUGAGACAGGAGGAUCCCAAGUUCAAAGCCAGCCUCCUCAAAAGUGAGGGGCUAAGCACCUCAGUGAGAUCCUGUCUCUA
This 125-nucleotide small RNA is filed under the name Marmota monax (woodchuck). The record is from RNAcentral. Lineage: Eukaryota; Metazoa; Chordata; Mammalia; Rodentia; Sciuridae.